UGAAGAAUGCCGAAUAGGUGUUGUCGAAAGGGCAGAGGAGAAGUCUAUGAGAGGAGUCGUAAGAAUUAAAGUGUGCCAGAUGGAAAGAUCCAGUACUACACCACCUACAGACAAGCGUACCACAUGGAGCAACAGCCCGUCUACAAGUGCUGCCCUGGUUGGAGCCAGUGGGACAAUGAACCUGGCUGCCUAUGCUGCGGUGGGAACAUGUUUCAAAGGAAGGAGGUGCUCAGACGGCGAGGCCCAGCAGAGCCAGUAUUCAGAGGGUUUUCAAGGCCCCCACUGUCAAUAUGAACUCCAUGAAGAGGUCUUGGGCUAAUUUAUUCAAUAUAGUGCCAAACGGCCGUGGAACAAUAUAAAUGAAUGUACCACUGACAACGGUGGCUGUCAGAACCAAUGCUGUAAUGCAAUUGGCAGUUAUUACUGCAAGUGUCAAGCUGGCCAGAAGCUGGAGGAAGAUGGCAGAGGAUGUGAAGGUAACGUUUAGGACUGUCUGCUUACAGAUAAGGAAAGAGAGAGCAUCUAUGUAAUGCAAAAGAGGGGGUUUGUCUUUUAUCCAUAGCCAGUUGAACUGCCUGUGUUGAAUGUUGUCAAGAGCACAGAUCUUCCUCUCAUGUCUAGAUUACAAAAUUGUAACCCUAAGAACACUUCAAGUAGCUUAUUAUAGGAAACAUAUGAUUAUACGCUGGUUUGGUUGUGUCAUGUUCUGAUUAUGGAAUUUCAAUCGUUCAUUUAAAUCCCUGGGUAAAGUACACAUUUUCGAAAGCAUUUCAUUUAAUUCUAAAGUAAAAAUGGUGCUUAUCAUAAAAUACUCAUAUGUUGCUACAGUGGAGAUGGAGGGGCACGAAACUAAGCACAGGAUCAGUAUUCUUGGUGCAGAAUUAGCUUUUUUUUUUUUUUUCACAAACUCCAAUUUACUGUCUCCUUUUAAAAUUAAUUCCUGCCUUCCUUUAUUUAUGAAUUCAUCAUUUGGUUCAUUUGACAAUCGUUGAGUUCCUGCUCUGUAGCAGGCAUUAUUCCACGUUCUGUGGAUAUAAAAAUUAAUGAGAAAUAAAUUCUGCCCUGAAGGAGUUUACUGAUUAGAAGCAAAGAUUGAAACAGAAACCAAAACCUUACAGAAUGGUGUUCUAAGGCAUUAUCACAUGCGGUUAAAUGCACUGGGUUCAGAGACCUGAAUUUGAAUCUCAGCUCUCUCACUUAAUAAUUUAGGUAACCCUGCAGAUGUUAUUUAGCCUUGCUAAGACUCGAUCCUCAUCUAUAAUAUUUGGGAUAAUGGUACUUUCUAAAAUCACAAAAGUUGCCAUGGAAUUCAAUAAGAUAAUGUGCCUAAAGCAUUUAGCAUAGUGGGUGGCAUAUAGUGGGUAUUCAGAAUUUUAGUCUCAUCUAGGAACUCAGUUAUUGCCCAUACUGGGAAUGUCAUGGGGGCCAGAGACUGCUUCCUUUUCUCUAAGAAGGAGAUAUCCAAAUUAAAAGGAACCCUGUACAAUGUCUUAUUACUGUUCCUUCUGAUUCCCCCCCCCAUCUAUUCAUAUUACUAAAAUGCUGGAGCAUUUUUUUUAGAUCACUUAGAAAUGUAUUUAUUCUAUGUUUGCCCAUUGACCUUACAAUCAUGCUCUUUUUUUUUUUUUUUACGUCUGACAAUGUCUGUUCCUGAUGGGACAUACGUGAAUAACUGGGUAGGAGAAAACAAAAUAAACAAAAGACAUCCAGCUGAGGACAACUGGGGCUGGGGCUGUGGGUUUGAUUGGGACUGCCAAGGUAAGACAAGUUGUAGAUGUGAGUAGGUUAGCGGAUUUAUCAGACCCUCAGGAAGCAGUCCCUUCUGGCAAGUUGUGGCAGUCAGCAACAGGAAGGGCCCCAGGUAAGCCUGCAGAUACUCAAAGCCAACUGCAUCUGGGCCUUCCUGAGACAGGCUUCACCCUCUGCCAGGAAGAGUAUAAAUUAAUACAGGCAAGCCCUACAUUUACACAGGCUCCUUUCAUUCAAGGGAGAUAAUCUUUAUACGCUGAUGAGAUUAUCUGUCAGUGGUGUUCUUGCUAUUGAUUCAAUAUCAGAGAACAGGAGGACUCAAGGACCCCAUGGUGUCCAAAUGAAAAGUGGGACAGUGACCGCUGAAGACAGCAUGGUCUACAUGAUGAGAAUAUUCUUUGUCAUGACCUUCCCUUCCCUGGCAGGCAGCGAUCUCUUGUUUCUUUUGGCUGACUAUUGUUAUCACCAUCAUCCUUAUUAUAGAUAUAUCUGAAGUGCCCUGCACAGCAAUUAGCCAUUGGUAGGUAUAAUAAUCGCUAUUAUGUUUAUAAUAACUAUUAGGCUAACAAGUCAUGAUAAACUUUGUACCCACUAAUUCAUUUACAUGCAAUUAUCUCACAUUUAAUUGAAGUUAAUAACUCUUCAUAUAAUCAUCAGAACGUUUAGAGAAGUGAUUUCUGUGGUUUCACAUAACCGAUGUCCUGUUGCACAGAGUAAGAGCAAGGUCAGAAUUUGUGAGAAUCAAGAGUGUGACCUUGAACUAACACUGACUUCCUAUUUACAGAGAUGAAGCAUUGGUGGGGGGGAUUGGGGGGGGUUGCUACAAAGUGGAGCAUGCACCACAGAACCGCCUCACAGUCUCCUACUUCUCAUACUUCUGACACUCUUUGCCUGCUCAUUUCCUAAAAUGACUGGUAGACAUGGUGAUGCUAGAGAACCGGCUUGCUUGAUUGUUGAACAUACAGAUUUGCUUAUAUACAUAAUUAAAUAAAAAAUAAUAGAGGUCAUUUUGAAAUUGGGUGCAUUCUAAAGCCACUGCAAAUGAGCAUUUCAAUUCAUGUGAGUGCACUAAUGAGUCAUUCAUAUUUAUUCACUGGAUACUAACAGUAAAGGUCGGUUGGUUUCAAAAACCGUUGUAUUGAAUGUUACAGAUAUGGAAUUAAAUAGCCAUUUGAAAAGACUUCUUUUUACAUUAAUAUAAAUGGAUUAUAACUCAUUUGAAUUGCCUUUUAAAAUACAGAUCAACAUUUUAGUAGACAUUUGUUGUACUAUUAAAUAAACCUAUAGUCUACUUUUCAGUGGAAAUGAAAUAUUUGUAAAUGGCCUUGUUAGCUAAUCUUACUUUUUAACCUUUUCUCUGAAAAGCUAUAAACUUGUAAAGAAGGUUUCUGAUUAGCUCAGUUACGUGGUAUCCCCUUUCUCAGACAUAGUGCUGAACUUAAAGCACUGUUUCUAAUUCACACUGCAGAUAGGUUUUAUAAGGUGUAAAUUAAAAAGAAAAAUAAAGAGGGGAAAGAACCACCUACUAGUGGACACUGUGGUAUAUAGUGUACUCAGGUAUAUAUGUACAGGAUGCAUAUAUGUAUAUAUUUUUUUGAAAGGGCAUAAAGAUUGCCUUUAAUCUGUCAAUGUGGAUUAUAAUAUUUAUAGAUUUUCAUAUGUAACCAUCUCUGCAUUUCAGGAAAAAAUUCAACUGGAUUUAAUAUUUUAUUUACUACAUCCAAUUUGCAGUUAUUUUGUUUAGGAUUUUUACUUUCAUAGCCAUGAGUGAAAUAGGCCAGUAAUUUGUGUUUUUCAUCUGUUUUUUAUGGUAUUGGUUCUCAACUGGAGUGAUUUUGUCCCUCAGAGACAUUUGGCAAUGUCUGAAGACAUAAAUUUCACAACUGAGCCUAGGGGUACUGUUGGCAUCUAGUGGGCAGAGGCCAAGGAUACUGGUAAAGAUCCCUUCUUCUGUUACUUUGAUUAGAUAUUUGUUAGACCUGCUAUUCUAUAUCCCAGGCUGCUCUUCUCUGUUCUAUUUUCUUUUCUCUCUUUACUGCACAUGCUCAGCUAGUUGACUGAGUUUCAGAUGUCAAUAAUUUAACCUUACAGUUUUAAAAGCCUUAUUUUUCUCAAAUCUGUAAGUUUCUUUCUCUUGUACACUUAUGUUUACAACUGUAUCCUUUUCCUUUACUGUUUCACACAUAGCUACAUUGUGUGUCUGAUUCCAACACCUGAGGUUCUUGCUGGGGAGUCUAAAUCUAUUAUUUCUUAUUUCUGGGCCUUCAGUUACACUGUCUUUCCUUUCAUGUUGUAUAUACUUCUAGUAUAGUACUUCUCACAGAGCACUGCACUUAUUUACACAUCUGUCCUGUCUCUUAGUUUGGGAAUAUCUUCUGGGACAGGGCCAUGUCUUAUCAUGUCUUCCCACUUUCUUAUCCCCAGGUAACAGGUGUCUAGUACCUAGCAGAAUUCCAUAAAUGUUUAUUGAAUGAAUGAAUGAGCAGAUGAAUACCCAUCCAUUCAAAUACAAAUGCAUACAGCAUAAAAUCAGUAUACCUUUAUUCAUUUCCUUAUCUACAGAUUCUAAUCAUGCUGGGUUUGUCACUUAAAGUCAGGCUAGUUAAACCAUUUGGUUAUCACCAGGUCUUUGUGUAAAUAUUUGCUGAUAACAAGUCUGUUUCAUUUGAAAAAGUAAAUCACAUUUUUACUUCUAGAGGGCAAAUCAAAGUCUUUUUAGCUUAGUUUGAACUUGCUGAAGUUUCUCUAUGUGGCUUUUCUAAAUUAUUGGUGCAGCAUUAUCACUAAUGUGACUCUCUGAGCAUAGUAGUCCCAUGAAGUCAAAGUUUGUUUGUUUUUUUUUCUUUCUAAGUGAAAUAGUAACUAACAUUACUGCACUUUUAAUAAGUGAACUGAUAAUAAACAUCGGUUGGACAUUUGAGAUAAAUCCUACAUUUGGGAGAAAUAAAUGGACAUAAAAGUAUAUUGUUUAAGCAAAUUGUUAAAAAUAUUUAAAAGUAAUCUGGAUAGUAUUUUGAGCCUUUUUUUUUCCUGAAAAACAUUAGAAACGAUAAUAUGAAUAAACAGAGAAUGUAACUUGGUAGGUCAUUGUCACGGAAUUAUAGAAUUUUUGACUAAAAAUUAUAUAGGUGGAAUCCCAGGGAAAUUAAAUGAUUUGAGCCAGUUGAAAAUGCUAAUUGGUGGACAAAGUGACACUAGAAGCCAAGCUUUCUUUUUUCCCUGCUAUGAUAUUGAUAGGCAACAUGAAGUAGAUACAGAUCAGGUUAAUCACAACCAUGAAGUCAACUGUGCUCCAAGUGUCCCAGAGACCUUCAACUCACAGAGGCCAUGAUCUACAGAGGGGGUAAAUGAAGCCCUGGAGAAACUGACAGAUUUCCUCCAAGUUUCGGACUAUUUAUAGAG
This 5151-nucleotide long non-coding RNA is filed under the name Canis lupus familiaris (dog). RNAcentral's name for it is "lncRNA (ENSCAFG00030026228.1)". The record is from RNAcentral. Lineage: Eukaryota; Metazoa; Chordata; Mammalia; Carnivora; Canidae.